Molecule: small nucleolar RNA, 107 nt
Organism: Dioscorea cayenensis subsp. rotundata (Guinea yam)
Lineage: Eukaryota; Viridiplantae; Streptophyta; Magnoliopsida; Dioscoreales; Dioscoreaceae
Source: RefSeq, a predicted model, not a curated record
AAACCGCGUUGUGGACACUUCCACAAGAGGUCCUUGAAUCAUUCCCAUGUCUCAAAUAAUGAUUCGAGCUCCAUCUGUAUGAAUAAGGUUAUCUCAUUACUAAACCU